RNAcentral lists this ribosomal RNA (460 nucleotides) under uncultured bacterium. RNAcentral's name for it is "partial 16S ribosomal RNA". It matches the Rfam family "Bacterial small subunit ribosomal RNA", at positions 338 to 795 of the family's 1533-position model. The record is from RNAcentral.
CCUACGGGGGGCAGCAGUGAGGAAUAUUGGUCAAUGGACGAGAGUCUGAACCAGCCAAGUAGCGUGAAGGAUGACUGCCCUAUGGGUUGUAAACUUCUUUUAUAUGGGAAUAAAAUGUUCCACGUGUGGGAUUUUGUAUGUACCAUAUGAAUAAGGAUCGGCUAACUCCGUGCCAGCAGCCGCGGUAACACGGAGGAUCCGAGCGUUAUCCGGAUUUAUUGGGUUUAAAGGGAGCGUAGGUGGAUUGUUAAGUCAGUUGUGAAAGUUUGCGGCUCAACCGUAAAAUUGCAGUUGAAACUGGCAGUCUUGAGUACAGUAGAGGUGGGCGGAAUUCGUGGUGUAGCGGUGAAAUGCUUAGAUAUCACGAAGAACUCCGAUUGCGAAGGCAGUUCACUGGACUGCAACUGACACUGAGGCUCGAAAGUGUGGGUAUCAAACAGGAUUAGAUACCCUAGUAGUC